Molecule: ribosomal RNA, 484 nt
Filed under: uncultured bacterium
Lineage: Bacteria
Description: partial 16S ribosomal RNA
Rfam family: Bacterial small subunit ribosomal RNA
Source: RNAcentral
AUUGAACGCUGGCGGCAGGCCUAACACAUGCAAGUCGAGCGGAUGAAGGGAGCUUGCUCCUGGAUUCAGCGGCGGACGGGUGAGUAAUGCCUAGGAAUCUGCCUGGUAGUGGGGGAUAACGUCCGGAAACGGGCGCUAAUACCGCAUACGUCCUGAGGGAGAAAGUGGGGGAUCUUCGGACCUCACGCUAUCAGAUGAGCCUAGGUCGGAUUAGCUAGUUGGUGGGGUAAAGGCCUACCAAGGCGACGAUCCGUAACUGGUCUGAGAGGAUGAUCAGUCACACUGGAACUGAGACACGGUCCAGGCUCCUACGGGAGGCAGCAGUGGGGAAUAUUGGGCAGUGGGCGAAAGCCUGAUCCAGCCAUGCCGCGUGUGUGAAGAAGGUCUUCGGAUUGUAAAGCACUUUAAGUUGGGAGGAAGGGCAGUAAGUUAAUACCUUGCUGUUUUGACGUUACCAACAGAAUAAGCACCGGCUAACUUCGUG